UCCUGGCUCAGAUUGAACGCUGGCGGCAGGCCUAACACAUGCAAGUCGAGCGGUAGAGAGAAGCUUGCUUCUCUUGAGAGCGGCGGACGGGUGAGUAAUGCCUAGGAAUCUGCCUGGUAGUGGGGGAUAACGUUCGGAAACGGACGCUAAUACCGCAUACGUCCUACGGGAGAAAGCAGGGGACCUUCGGGCCUUGCGCUAUCAGAUGAGCCUAGGUCGGAUUAGCUAGUUGGUGAGGUAAUGGCUCACCAAGGCGACGAUCCGUAACUGGUCUGAGAGGAUGAUCAGUCACACUGGAACUGAGACACGGUCCAGACUCCUACGGGAGGCAGCAGUGGGGAAUAUUGGACAAUGGGCGAAAGCCUGAUCCAGCCAUGCCGCGUGUGUGAAGAAGGUCUUCGGAUUGUAAAGCACUUUAAGUUGGGAGGAAGGGUUGUAGAUUAAUACUCUGCAAUUUUGACGUUACCGACAGAAUAAGCACCGGCUAACUCUGUGCCAGCAGCCGCGGUAAUACAGAGGGUGCAAGCGUUAAUCGGAAUUACUGGGCGUAAAGCGCGCGUAGGUGGUUUGUUAAGUUGGAUGUGAAAUCCCCGGGCUCAACCUGGGAACUGCAUUCAAAACUGACUGACUAGAGUAUGGUAGAGGGUGGUGGAAUUUCCUGUGUAGCGGUGAAAUGCGUAGAU
RNAcentral lists this ribosomal RNA (683 nucleotides) under Pseudomonas azotoformans. Its description in RNAcentral is "bacterial SSU rRNA". It matches the Rfam family "Bacterial small subunit ribosomal RNA", at positions 17 to 695 of the family's 1533-position model. Lineage: Bacteria; Pseudomonadati; Pseudomonadota; Gammaproteobacteria; Pseudomonadales; Pseudomonadaceae. The record is from RNAcentral.